Long non-coding RNA from Sorghum bicolor (sorghum), 242 nucleotides. RefSeq lists it as uncharacterized. NCBI's taxonomy places the organism in Eukaryota, Viridiplantae, Streptophyta, Magnoliopsida, Poales, Poaceae. The transcript is spliced from 2 exons. The record is from RefSeq and is a predicted model, not a curated record.
CAAGAGUUCCACAACCGGUGUGUCCUUGAGUGGAGGAAGCUGGAGGUUAAGUGGAGCACACGAGUGAUAUGAUGGUCAACAUCGAGCCAACCUUCUUUGCACUGCUAGACAUGGCUUAUUAGAUUUUGAUAUGAAGUGUGUUUGAUACCUUAUGUGUGAGUUGUGUGUGUGUCUAAGCCAAAUAUGAGAUGAUUUGUACAUAGCAUAUUUUGCAUUAAUGUUUGUCUAAAUGCUUUAUUGAC